This is a long non-coding RNA of Mustela erminea (ermine), 896 nucleotides long. RefSeq lists it as uncharacterized. NCBI's taxonomy places the organism in Eukaryota, Metazoa, Chordata, Mammalia, Carnivora, Mustelidae. The record is from RefSeq and is a predicted model, not a curated record. The transcript is spliced from 3 exons.
UUAGUGUGAUUGGCUCAAACGCCAGCCCCUCUCCGCUCCCGAAGGGUCAGUGGGUGGAGCUGAAGGCCCGGGCCCGCCCAGCGCGAGGUUGGUUACCCCGGCAACCAGCAUCCCUCCGGGGCUACCCGGGAGCCGCCCCUUCGCCAGUCAUCGCGUUCCCCUACCAAAAGACACAUCAUCGGAGAUGCCAAGGAGGACAGCAGCUCCGUGCAGGAAAGGGGGGCAGAGACCAAAUAUGUAUUAAUGAUGUCGUAGCAUCUCGAAAUGAGUACGGAGGUAUUCGCGAGAGCCGUUUAUGUGCCACAAACUCUCCAGGCAGGAGUGACCGCCAGCUCGUCAGAGUCCGUUCCUGUCCCGCUUCGCUCCAGCUGGAUCUGCUUCCGUCGUUAAGAUAGUUGCCAAAUGGCCCAUCUUUUCAACAGCGUCCAGAACGGGCCUGUUUCUCGCUUCCCUCCCGAGAAGCGGCCGAAAGAAGAGCAGAAGGGCGUCUCCUUCUGGGCGGCUCACAGAGGAGGAAGGAAACCUUCCCCAGGCGUCCAGCAGCAGAUACUGGUCUUCUUCCCUCGUCACCCAUAAUUACGUCCCAGACUCCGGCCCGAGAUGCCUGCGGGGAGGAAAACGCGACCAUGACAAAUUAAUCUCAAAAUACUUGUCCGGAGUGGAUGGCAGGACAAAAUCAGGGGUUUCUGAGGAAAAACGAAGAGAACAGAUGUUGACUAGACACCCCACAGUGCCUGUGACGGUCCUGCAGUGUUGGUGUGCGCCUCCUUGAGUGUGGGCUGGUGGCGAAGGUCAGUUUAUCUUCCCAGUCUAAGAUGUUUCAAUUCUCUAAUGACCACGUGUCGUUUCAUAAUAACAAAAAAUAGAACUUCAGACAAAUUUCACAUAAACUUCCA